UGGGGUAUAAUUAAUAAAUAGUUAAUUAAUAAAAGAAAUUUUAAUAUUAUAAAUAUUUAAUGGGGGUUAAAGUAUUUUUAAUAGAAAAAAUUUGAAAUUUUAUAGUAAAUUAGUAUUGUGAAAGAAAUUUGAAAUAAUAAUUUAAAUAAAAAUUAAUUUUUAAGUAAAUUUAAUUUAUUGUAUCUUGUGUAUCAGAGUUUAUUAAAAAAAUUUUUUUUUAGUAAAAUUUCUCGAAUUUAAAAGAGUUAAUUAAUUAAUAAAUUUAUUGUUUCAUAAAUAUUUUAAAUAAUUAAUUAGAAAUGAAAUGUUAUUCGUUUUUAAAUAUAUCUAGUUAUUUUAGAAAAAAAUUUAAUUUUUAAUUUAAACUUAAAAUUAAUUAAUUAAUUAAUUAAUUUUAAGUUUAAAUUUAAUAUUUUAAGGGAUAAGCUUUAAUUUAAAUUUUUAUAAUAAAUUAAUUAAUAAUUGAAAAUUUUAUAAUUUAUAUUGUUAAUAAAUUUUAAUUUAUUAUAAAUAAUUUCAAUAAAAUUUAAAAUUUAAUUAAAAUUUAAUUUUUUAUAAAAAAAUUUUUUUUAAUAAUAAAAAAUUAGUUAUAAUGAUAAAAUUAGUAUAUAAAUAAAUAGUUGAAUUUAAAUUAAUUAUUAUAAAAAAGUUAUUUUAAAGGAAUUCGACAAAAAGUUAUAUUCACCUGUUUAUCAAAAACAUGUCUUUUUGGGUAAUAAUUUAAAGUCUAAUCUGCCCACUGAUUUUAUAAUUAAAGGGCUGCAGUAUAUUGACUGUACAAAGGUAGCAUAAUCAUUAGUCUCUUAAUUGGUGACUUGUAUGAAAGAUUGGAUGAAAUAUAGAUUGUCUCUAAAAUAUUUAUAGAAAUUAAUUUUUUAAUUAAAAAGUUAAAAUAAAUUAAAAAGACGAGAAGACCCUAUAGAGUUUUAUAAUUAUUAAUUUUUAAUUUUUUAAUUAAUAGUUUAUUUUAAAUAUUAAAAAUUAUUUUGUUGGGGUGAUAAAAAAAUAAAUAAAACUUUUUUUAAUAUAAAACAUAAAUAAGUGAUUAAUUGAUCCAAAUUUUUUGAUUAUAAGAAAAAAUUACCUUAGGGAUAACAGCGUAAUUUUUUUUUUUAGUUCGUAUAAGAAAAAAAGUUUGCGACCUCGAUGUUGGAUUAAGAUAAAAUUUAAAUGCAGAAGUUUAAAAUUUUGAUCUGUUCGAUCAUUAAAAUCUUACAUGAUCUGAGUUCAAACCGGUGUAAGCCAGGUUGGUUUCUAUCUUUUAAAUAUUUUUAUAUUUUAGUACGAAAGGAUUAAAUAUAAUAAUUAAAUUAAGUUAAAUUGAAUUUUAUUAAAAAAAAUAAUAAAUUUG
Molecule: ribosomal RNA, 1351 nt
Filed under: Theretra oldenlandiae
Lineage: Eukaryota; Metazoa; Arthropoda; Insecta; Lepidoptera; Sphingidae
Description: 16S ribosomal RNA
Source: RNAcentral